RNAcentral lists this ribosomal RNA (192 nucleotides) under uncultured Glomeromycotina. RNAcentral's name for it is "partial small subunit ribosomal RNA". It matches the Rfam family "Eukaryotic small subunit ribosomal RNA", at positions 891 to 1078 of the family's 1831-position model. The record is from RNAcentral. Lineage: Eukaryota; Fungi; Glomeromycota.
UAGUUAUUCAANUUGUCAGAGGUGAAANNCUUGGANUUAUUGAAGACUAACUACUGCGAAAGCAUUUGCCAAGGAUGUUCUCAUUAAUCAAGAACGAAAGUUAGGGGAUCAAAGACGAUCAGAUACCGUCGUAGUCUUAACCAUAAACUAUGCCGACUAGGGAUCGGAUGAUGUUAAUUUUUUAAUGACUCA